RNAcentral lists this ribosomal RNA (489 nucleotides) under uncultured bacterium. RNAcentral's name for it is "partial 16S ribosomal RNA". It matches the Rfam family "Bacterial small subunit ribosomal RNA", at positions 28 to 507 of the family's 1533-position model. The record is from RNAcentral.
GAUGAACGCUAGCGGCAGGCUUAAUACAUGCAAGUCGAGGGGCAGCAGGACUGUAGCAAUACAGUUGCUGGCGACCGGCAAACGGGUGCGGAACACGUACGCAACCUACCCAAAACUGGGGGAUAGCCCGGGGAGACCCGGAUUAAUACCUCGUAACCUUUUUAAGUGGCAUCACUUGAUAAGUAUAGCUCCGGCGGUUUUGGAUGGGCGUGCGCCUGAUUAGGUAGUUGGUGCGGGUAACGGCCCACCAAGCCUGCGAUCAGUAACUGGUGUGAGAGCACGACCAGUCACACGGGCACUGAGACACGGGCCCGACUCCUACGGGAGGCAGCAGUAAGGAAUAUUGACCAAUGGACGCAAGUCUGAACCAGCCAUGCCGCGUGAAGGAUGAAGGUCCUCUGGAUUGUAAACUUCUUUUAUGGGGGACGAAACCCGGAUAUUCUUAUCCGAUUGACGGUACCUCAGGAAUAAGCACCGGCUAACUCCGUG